This 379-nucleotide ribosomal RNA is filed under the name uncultured eukaryote. RNAcentral describes it as "partial 18S ribosomal RNA". It matches the Rfam family "Eukaryotic small subunit ribosomal RNA", at positions 592 to 976 of the family's 1831-position model. The record is from RNAcentral.
CAAUAGCGUAUAUUUAAGUUGUUGCAGUUAAAAAGCUCGUAGUUGGAUUUCGGAUGGGAUUUGCCGGUCCGUCGUUACGAUGUGCACUGGCCAGUCCUAUCUUGUUGUCGGGGACUAGCUCCUUGGAUUCACUUCCUGGGACUAGGAGCUGACGAGGUUACUUUGAGUAAAUUAGAGUGUUCAAAGCAAGCCUACGCUCUGAAUACAUUAGCAUGGAAUAACACGAUAGGACUCUGGCUUAUCUUGUUGGUCUGUGAGACCAGAGUAAUGAUUAAGAGGGACAGUCGGGGACAUUCGUAUUUCAUUGUCAGAGGUGAAAUUCUUGGAUUUAUGAAAGACGAACUUCUGCGAAAGCAUUUGUCAAGCAUGUUUUCAUUAA